RNAcentral lists this ribosomal RNA (572 nucleotides) under uncultured bacterium. RNAcentral's name for it is "partial 16S ribosomal RNA". The record is from RNAcentral.
AAGUUUCCAACGUCUAGCACACAUCGUUUACGGCAUGGACUACGAGGGUAUCUAAUCCUCUUCGCUACCCAUGCUUUCGUUCCUCAGUGUCAGUAAUGAUCCAGAAAGUUGCCUUCGCUUUUGAUGUUCUUUCUAAUAUCUACGAAUUUCACCUCUACACUAGAAAUUCCACUUUCCUCUAUCAUACUCUAGCUAAAAAGUUUUGAUGGCAGUUCCAAGGUUGAGCCUUGGGAUUUCACCAUCAACUUUUUUAACCACCUACGAACUCUUUAAGCCCAGUAAUUCCGAACUACGCUAGGUCCCUUCGUAUUACCGCGGCUGCUGGCACGAAGUUAGCCGGACCUUCUUAUUCGGGUACAGUCAUUUUCUUCCCCGACGAAAGAGUUUUACAACCCAAAGGCCUUCUUCACUCACGCGGCAUCGCUGCAUCAGGGUUUCCCCCAUUGUGCAAGAUUCCCCACUGCUGCCUCCCGUAGGAGUUUGGGCCGUGUCUCAGUCCCAAUGUGGCUGGUCUUCCUCUAAGAACAGCUAUUGAUCGUUGCCUUGGUAAGCUAUUACCUUACCAACUAGCU